Molecule: ribosomal RNA, 253 nt
Filed under: uncultured bacterium
Lineage: Bacteria
Description: partial 16S ribosomal RNA
Rfam family: Bacterial small subunit ribosomal RNA
Source: RNAcentral
UACGUAGGGUGCGAGCGUUGCCCGGAUUUAUUGGGCGUAAAGAGCGUGUAGGCGGUCUGGUAGGUCCGUUGUGAAAACUCGAGGCUCAACCUCGAGACGCCGAUGGAAACCAUCAGACUAGAGUCCGGAAGAGGAGAGUGGAAUUCCUGGUGUAGCGGUGAAAUGCGCAGAUAUCAGGAAGAACACCCGUGGCUAAGGCGGCUCUCUAGUACGGUACUGACGCUGAGACGCGAAAGCGUGGGGAGCGAACAGG